GGGGUAAAGGCCUACCAAGGCGACGAUCAGUAGCGGGUCUGAGAGGAUGAUCCGCCACACUGGGACUGAGACACGGCCCAGACUCCUACGGGAGGCAGCAGUGGGGAAUUUUGGACAAUGGGGGCAACCCUGAUCCAGCCAUUCCGCGUGAGUGAAGAAGGCCUUCGGGUUGUAAAGCUCUUUCAGCAGGAACGAAACGGUACGCUCUAACAUAGUGUGCUAAUGACGGUACCUGCAGAAGAAGCACCGGCUAACUACGUGCCAGCAGCCGCGGUAAUACGUAGGGUGCGAGCGUUAAUCGGAAUUACUGGGCGUAAAGCGUGCGCAGGCGGAUUGUUAAGCAAGAUGUGAAAUCCCCGGGCUUAACCUGGGAAUGGCAUUUUGAACUGGCAGUCUAGAGUGUGUCAGAGGGGGGUGGAAUUCCACGUGUAGCAGUGAAAUGCGUAGAGAUGUGGAGGAACACCAAUGGCGAAGGCAGCCCCCUGGGAUAACACUGACGCUCAUGUACGAAAGCGUGGGUAGCAAACAGGAUUAGAUACCCUGGUAGUCCACGCCCUAAACGAUGUCAACCGUUGUUGGGGGAGUGAAAUCCCUUAGUAACGAAGCUAACGCGUGAAGUUGACCGCCUGGGGAGUACGGUCGCAAGAUUAAAACUCAAAGGAAUUGACGGGGACCCGCACAAGCGGUGGAUGAUGUGGAUUAAUUCGAUGCAACGCGAAAAACCUUACCUACCCUUGACAUGUCCGGAAUCCUGAAGAGAUUUGGGAGUGCUCGAAAGAGAACCGGAACACAGGUGCUGCAUGGCUGUCGUCAGCUCGUGUCGUGAGAUGUUGGGUUAAGUCCCGCAACGAGCGCAACCCUUAUCAUUAGUUGCUACGCAAGGGCACUCUAAUGAGACUGCCGGUGACAAACCGGAGGAAGGUGGGGAUGACGUCAAGUCCUCAUGGCCCUUAUGGGUAGGGCUUCACACGUCAUACAAUGGUCGGUACAGAGGGUUGCCAAGCCGCGAGGUGGAGCCAAUCCCAGAAAGCCGAUCGUAGUCCGGAUUGUUCUCUGCAACUCGAGAGCAUGAAGUCGGAAUCGCUAGUAAUCGCGGAUCAGCAUGUCGCGGUGAAUACGUUCCCGGGUCUUGUACACACCGCCCGUCACACCAUGGGAGUGGAAUCUGGCAGAAGUAGGUAGCCUAACCGCAAGGAGGGCGCUUACCACGCUGGGUUUCAUGACUGGGGUGAA
RNAcentral lists this ribosomal RNA (1233 nucleotides) under metagenome. RNAcentral's name for it is "bacterial SSU rRNA". It matches the Rfam family "Bacterial small subunit ribosomal RNA", at positions 254 to 1484 of the family's 1533-position model. The record is from RNAcentral.